UCUACAUAUGCUGAACUAAGACACCACCCCACAGUAUCUCCUAAAUUGUGACUGUUAAUGAAGAAGAGAGUGGGGGAAAGGAUCCGGAAGUCAGACCAGUACAUGAACCUAGAAGAGACGGAUGCAAGGAGACAGUAAAUUGGACCCCAGGCAGCAGCCAUCCAGAGAUUUACCUGAACCAGCUCUUUGAAGCAUCUCAGCAGUCCUAUGUAAGCUCUUACAAAGACCCUUAUCUUUAAACAUUGAAACAGACCUUCUCUGAGGCACGGUUCCAUUCAACAGCUCUUGCAGCCCCUCUGUGAAUCCUGGCAGAACAACAAAAUAGGAGUCUGG
Meleagris gallopavo (turkey) is the source of this 333-nucleotide non-coding RNA. The record is from RefSeq and is a predicted model, not a curated record. NCBI's taxonomy places the organism in Eukaryota, Metazoa, Chordata, Aves, Galliformes, Phasianidae.